RNAcentral lists this long non-coding RNA (4008 nucleotides) under Fragaria vesca (wild strawberry). Its description in RNAcentral is "long non-coding RNA (FVES_LNC005487)". The record is from RNAcentral. Lineage: Eukaryota; Viridiplantae; Streptophyta; Magnoliopsida; Rosales; Rosaceae.
AGAGACUCAAUAAUUGAGCUAAACCUGUUUGUAACGAGGGCAUCUGUCAAUUGUUGCUGUUGGUGCACUUUGACAGAAGUCGAUGAUUGAUGUAAGUGUCAUCUGGCUAUGGAUAAUCUAUGUUGCACGGAAACGGAAACGAGUCUUGGUCGACAAGUCGGGAUACUCAUACCCAUAACCGUCCCGACAGAGCCUGAAAUCCAGACCGAAGCCAGGUAUGUCACAUCCCGACCUUUAAAUUUUUUACCUUGUUUACUAGCUUGGUUAUAAUAAGAAUUUUACCGUCUCCGUCAUUGAGAUUAUAGUUUAAUUGGUCCCUAAAGGGGUUUGGGGGACGGUUAUUUUCAGAGGAUUAUUCGUAGGAGAAAAAUUUGACGACGGUAAAAAUGGUAAAUUUUAGCUAGUAAAAAGUAAUUUUUAUUAGGGUAUUAUUUUUCGGGGUGUUUUAUUUUGGAGUGGGUUGGUAUAAGGGUGUUGGACCGGGUUGGUGUGAGGCCCAAACACCAUUUCUCCUCUCUCUCUCUCUUCUCCUCUCCCUCCCGACUUCUCUCCCGAGCUCUCUCUCCCGCCGAAGACUUCAGCUCCGCCUGCCGCCGUCCGGCUAGCGAACGGCCGCCACUCCAGCCUAGUUCGGAGCCCCGCCACCUCCUCUCUCUUCCCAGCCUGGGGUCCGCGCCGGUAACGUCCCCGAUCGGGAGAUUUUCUGCCGGAGAUGCCGGACUGUCUCUCGCCGAAGCUCCCACCUCCGGCCACCAUAGCUCGAGAUUUUUGGCUCAAAUUGUAGCUCUCAUCAAGGUUAGUGAUCUCUCAAAAGGAAUCGACUUAAUUCGAUCUUGGUAGGAAGAAAUGUAUAAUUGAAGUUUUAGGGAUUUAAGGAUGUUUUUGUUCGAUUGGCCUAGUUAAGCUUGGAAUUGGUGUUUGUGCUAGUUAGGAAAGUUGUAGAGUGGGUUGAGAGGAAGAUGCUGUCAAAAUUUCAUAGGCAUUGGAUGACAGGACCCACCCAGAAUUUCAUCCUGAAACCCGAGGUAAAUCCUGCGGGGUCCACCUUCAAAGAAAAUUUACCGAAAAUUCAGCAUAACCUUCCUUAAAAAUGGACGACUCUUACCUGAACAAUCCAACUUAACACUUCUAUAACUAAACAUCCAUCCUCAACACCUGGAGCCUUCCUGCUCCCCAAGUCCAACACAUCUCCCAAUAUUACAAUUACUCAACUAAACUAAACCCACAACAAACUAUAACCAACAUUAAUUCACUAACUGUUUAUCAGAGCAUAUCUAGAGUUAAAUGAAAAACAAUGAAUAAAGAAUAAGCGGAAGCAGCCUCUGACUAUGCCUCGACUCCAUGUACGCCCGACCUCACUUAGACUGAGCCUGCAAUUUGGGCAUUUAAAACCAAAGGGCCCAGGGGAAAGUAAUUUAAAAACGUUAGAGUGAGUGGACGAAAAUAAACAUAGGAUAAGAAACCAAAACUUAAAUACUUUUCCACUUUCCAAUAUGCAAUAAAUCCGUUGCAUGAAAAUGUUGACAAAUCUUUCAUAAAGAAAAUCCCAAGAAAACGGACUAGCCCCGCUAGUCAAAUUAAUGACAAAGAUAAAUAAUAACCUUCAUAGAAGAAGGUACCCAAAACAAGGGACUAGCCCCGCUAAUCAAAACGACAACAAAGAUUCAUAAAGACUUUCGUCAAAAGGAACAACAAAAAGAUGGACUAGCCCCGCUAGUCAAGUCAACAACAAUAAAUAAGAAACAUAUAUUGCCAUACAAGUGAACCUCCCAGACUCGGUUGCCUCCCAGGCAAUAGUACUCCCAUACUCCCUACACCUUCAUGUUAUGAUAACAGAGAGGAUGUAGGGCUUGCGUGAUGUCGUCGACUACAUCACAUCACCCGAAGGCGGAAAGGGCUUGAGUAACCCCACUUAAAAUGUGGAAGUUACAUCGCCUCGAAAGGCGGAACAACAUGCUAGCAUGAAUAAUAACGAUCCAACAAGUAUGGCAUAAAUAAAGAAACAUAAAUCCAUGUGAGUUUCCCCGAAACUCAUAAUUAAAGCAUAAGUACGAUUCCCAACCCUACUCAAAGAAUUCAAAGAGCAAAGAAAAUAAUUAAAUUCGAUGACGUGUCCCACACGUUAAAAUGCUCAAUGAAAUAAAUAACUCGUCUCAUUAACAUAUUUCAAAAAUUAGACCAUACUCAAAUCUUUAAAGAAAUCUCAAAUCCAGAGAUCAAAAGAAUAUCAUAAUUCAAAUACCGAAACUCUUACCCAAGCUCAAAUCCAUAAGUUUAUUAUCGAAAACAUAACCAUUCUGUCAAUCUCCAUUAAAUUCCAUAACCAAUUCAAAAGCUGAAAUUAUAAUUUAAGCUUGGAAAAUAUAAUAGACAACUUAUAAAAUCAUGCAUGCAUAUUAAUUAAAAUCUAAAAUGUCCACUCACUGAUUUAGGCCUAAGCCUGACGAAUUCCGAAUCACUACUCAAGCGCGGUUCCCUUCGUAUCCUGGCACAAUAAAUAUGCUUAGGACCAAACUUAAAUUCUGGAAAAUUAAACAUUUGAAAAUAAACACCCAAAUCUCUUCCGCUUAACCCACUACUCUAACUAGGGUUAAGCUCACCGGAUUUCCACCAAACUCCACCAUAACCUGAAUUCCUCAAUUCUAACAUUUUAGAAUAAAUAUCAAGGAAAUCCAACGGCAGGAUUUAUCCUAACAACCGCCAUUCUCUCCAAUCUCCGAAAAGUUCCAAACCUAACCAAAACUCAUCAAAAAAUUCCAAACUAUUCUUCAAUAAACUCCUCUUAUUAAAACCAUCUAAAAAACAGGAAAAACAACCCUUAAGGGGCGGCGGCGGCGGCCGGCAGCCGUAUUCCGGCAAGGACCAAAGCUUCUCAAAUUUUAGCAGAAUAAUCCUCUCAUCAUGCACAACAACUUUAAUAACUAGCACUUAAUCCAAAUCUAAGGCUAACUAGGGUAAUCGAACUAAAACAUCUAAAAAAUCCCUAAAUUCAAACCCUAGACCGAAAAUCCUCCUACACUUCGAAUUUGAUAGUUACCUUCUAGGGGAUUGAUGCACCAAGAAAGGCCGUCAAGCUGAGCCAAACGUCUCCAGCUAUAGUGGCCGGAGGAGGGAGAUUCUAGCAGAAACUCCCCCCGCUGCCCAGUCGGCUUCUAGUCGGGUUUUCUCCUUCACGGCGGCAAGGCACGACCAUCCACCUGCCCAGAAUUACAGUAGAGCUAACGCUGAGUUGAACGUGACAGAACCCACCCCGAAUUUCACCCUGAAACCCGAGGUAAAUCCUGUGGGGUCCACCUUGAAGGAAAAUUUACCAAAAAUUCGGCAUAACCUCUUUAAAAAUGGACGACCCUUACCUGAAAAAUCCAAUUUAACACUUCUAUAACCAAACAUCCAUCCUCAACACCUGGAGCCUUUCUGCUCCCCGAGUUCAACACAUCUCUCAAUAUAACAAUUACUCAACUAAACUAAUCCCACAACCAACAAUAACCAACAUUAAUUCACUAACUGAUUAUCAGAGCGUAUCUAGAGUUAAAUGAAAAACAAUGAAUAAAGAAUAAGCAGAAGCAGCCUCUGACUAUGCCUCGACUCCAUGUACGCCCGACCUCACUUAGACUGAGCCUGCAAUUUGGGCAUUUAAAACCAAAGGGCCCAGGGGAAAGUAACUUAAAAACGUUAGAGUGAGUGGACGAAAAAUAAUCAAGUAACUGAUCGCGACAUAACUACCUAAACUUAAUUACUUUCCCAUUUUCCAAUAAUCAAGAAAUUUGUUGUAUGCAAGUGUUGAUAAAACUUUCAUAGAGAAAAUUCCAAGAAAACAGACAAGCCCCACUAGUCAAAUUAACGACAAAGAUAAUUAAUAAUCUUCAUAGAAUAAGGUACCAAAAUAAUGGACUAGCCCCGCUAGUCAAAACUACAACAAUAAAUAAAGAGCAUAUAUAUAUAUAGCCAUACAUGAGCCUCCCAGACUCGGUUGCCUCCCAGGCAAAAGUACUCCCAUACUCCCUACAC